CUCCUGAUCAGCAGACUUCGCAUCCAUCCUCAUCCUCACAAAAGAUUGACUCACCACUAGGGAUCAGCGAGUUUUCUAUUUUAGGGCUUUUGUCAAAAGUAAACAAAUGUCACCCUUUCACGUGGUCUCAUCCCAAGAACAAUCCCCACCCUCCCUCAGCAAAUCACAGGCAGCAAGGCGGCGAGGGGGAGACAAGUCUAGGGCGAGUGUGUGUGAUUAGUAUCCACACAGGGAGUCACUCAUGUAGUGAAGCAGCAACUUGCAUCAGUGACAGCGCAGCCUCCAGCAAGGGACACUUUGAACUGACAAAGCAGUGUCCCCUAAUGACAGCAAAGUGACAAUACCUUGGUCAAGUGGACAGCUGUCUCUUCAGGCUGUGACUAAAAGAAUUUACUGAGUGCCACCUCAUCCAGAAAGUCAGGGGAGCAGAUUCAUCCUACAUCAGAUGAGCGGAGUCAAUCACUGUAAUUUGUCCUCCAUUCUUAGGAACAUUUCCCCCACCUUCCUUUUUUGUUUAAGUUCAUUUUUCCAAUAUUUUUUCAGUUGCCUUUUCCCAAUUCCUGUUCUUUCUUUAAGCUG
Molecule: non-coding RNA, 579 nt
Organism: Pelobates cultripes (western spadefoot toad)
Lineage: Eukaryota; Metazoa; Chordata; Amphibia; Anura; Pelobatidae
Source: the annotation of a GenBank genome assembly